Molecule: ribosomal RNA, 429 nt
Filed under: Acidobacteriota bacterium
Lineage: Bacteria; Pseudomonadati; Acidobacteriota
Description: Acidobacteria bacterium partial 16S ribosomal RNA
Rfam family: Bacterial small subunit ribosomal RNA
Source: RNAcentral
UGGGGAAUUUUGGACAAUGGGGGAAACCCUGAUCCAGCCAUCCCGCGUGUGCGAUGAAGGCCUUCGGGUUGUAAAGCACUUUUGGCAGGAAAGAAACGUCAUGGGUUAAUACCCCGUGAAACUGACGGUACCUGCAGAAUAAGCACCGGCUAACUACGUGCCAGCAGCCGCGGUAAUACGUAGGGUGCAAGCGUUAAUCGGAAUUACUGGGCGUAAAGCGUGCGCAGGCGGUUCGUAAAGAAAGAUGUGAAAUCCCAGAGCUCAACUUUGGAACUGCAUUUUUAACUACCGUGCUAGAGUGUGUCAGAGGGAGGUGGAAUUCCGCGUGUAGCAGUGAAAUGCGUAGAUAUGCGGAGGAACACCGAUGGCGAAGGCAGCCUCCUGGGAUAACACUGACGCUCAUGCACGAAAGCGUGGGGAGCAAACAGG